AACCCCUGAUUGCUGGGGCUGACUCUAGCUCCUCUGAGGCCGUCGUUCUUUUACAAAAAGGGGUGGAGGUUGUUGUUGCCUUUUUUUUUUUUUUUUUUUUAAUGAAUGGAGGGCGGCGGCGACUGCUGCAGCUGGCUCAGCUGCGCGGGCUGUACCCCCUCCCAGCCUGCGAGAGGAGGGGAUUUAGCCAAGAGACACACGGGGUUCCAUUCCUGAUCUUUUCCCAGCUUUCCUGAAGCAUGAGGUGAAAAAAGCACAGCCUUGGUGGGAUGGUGAGAAGAAGGAGGAGCCCCCAGCCCUGGCCUGGGAGGAGCCUCUGAUGUGAAGCUACUGGAGGACCCACUGCCAAAAUCAAGAUGUAAAUCAAGAGAGCAGAUACACGGGAAUGACUACUUGGAGCUCAGGAAAACUUCCGGUAGAAGACACUGAUGAUGAAAUGACACGUGUGAGCAGUUGCAGGGUGUUACAAACAGGAGGCUGCAUAAAUUCAAGAUUUCAAGAUUUCCCAGAAAAGCCAGCCUAACCCUGAGGAAUACAUCAUCAUGGUUGUCUUUCCCUUGGGAUUCUGAGCACCAGAGAGCAUCCCCAUUGGUUCAGAAAACGGGAGAACAAAGCGCUGGUGAUUCCAAGGACACACAAGGAAGAGGCAAAAAGGAGCCGGGGAACUAGUGCGGGAAAUUCCUUACGAGUACCACUGGCCUGGAUGCUUGCCCUUGUUCCCAUACCUUGGACCCUGCCUCCCAGCUGAGUUGGACAUCCUGUCAGUCCACACUCACUGUCUGUUACCUGCCCCCCCCCCCCAGGUAGGUGCCCUCCCUUUUCUGUGGCUGAGUGGGCUCAAUCCAGUUGUACCUUGAGAUGGGACCCCUUGUCAGUACUCCGUGAGCAUGUGUUGAUUAGUGAAAAACAGGGGGGAAAAAAAUCUUCAUUCACCUAUAAUUCGUUUCACGUGUAGGCAUUAGAUUUACCUAAAACCGGGUAUGCCUGCGGCACCCAUGACAGAUUGCUUUUCCAGCAGCUUAACUCAAGGAGCAUUGCGUUGGCCAAGCAACACCCUUUGAUAAGGUGGAUGGGGAAUGCCUUACACUCUGUACCGUCCCUCACUCCUAGAGGGUGGCCCAGCAGGCCUGGCAGCUCCGUGAUCCUCCACGGUUUACUAGCAUCCACAGAACGCAUGUGAGCCAGGCGAGCGAGCACACUCUUCAUCCUGGGUCAGGCAUCCCUUCACUUAGUGUAGGUGGAGCCUAAAAUGCCAUCCACCCUCACCACUAAAAGCAUCAUCAUCGUGGUUGAUGCUACUGGCCUAUGACGUCAAACCACUUAAGCAACCUCAUAGCGCUUCCUUAAAUCCUUUUCGGAACCAGGCAAGCCGAUCUGGGAGAGAGUUUACAAGAAACUCUGUUUUUCUCCCUUCAUUAUUUGUGUAUCAGUUUGGCCUUUGAUCAAGGACUUCAUCUGCAAAGCCAUUUACUCAUACUAGCAAAGGCAGGGUCAACAGAAGAAAGCCUCCAGUGCUCACCAGCUGCCCUCAGCAGCACCUUUGAUGAUCGUGCCUUCAGAUACACAAUCUGAAAAGGGGAAUUUCCUCAGAAGCCCUCAAUGACCAACACAAAGAAAACAAAGGAAAAGGGAAUUUGUGACUGUGAAUCACAGUCUCCACCAAAAUCCACACUCAUUCACCCAGACAGUCCCAGUAAACAGCCGGCCAGCCCUUCACUGGACACCACUUUGCAAAGCGGGCUUAUUUCUUUUCAACCCUUUGCCACCAUCAGGACUGGCUGAGCCUCACACAAAGCCCCGGUCGUCCUCCGGCGGAUGCUCGCCUCUCCCACCGCUGUUUGCAGAACUACAUCAUAAACAAUCACAUCUCUGUAGGGAAUGAAAGGGAAAGUGCCAAAGCAGAAAAAGAAUGCAGAAGAGUGUGUGGGGAGGUUGGGGGGGGGGAGGGGGCGGCGCAGUGGUUAAAGCAGCUAGAGAAAGCACUGAAUGUUUACAUUCUGCUGAGUCACGCAGGGAGCUCUUAGACCCCAGUGCCCAGAUAAGGUGAGUUCCUCUUGGGUCUCUGAAAAAUGGGCACUUGAUGCCUAAAUUCUCCCCCAGACCUGGAGGUCUGAAUUUUUCAAGUGUUCUUCUCUAGAAGCCUUGCACACUUUGGGCAUGUAAUAGUGACGUGGAUGUGGCUAGCCAUUCCCGCACCUUCUCCUCCAGUGCCAGUCUGCAGGGGCACUGAGAUGAGCGUGUGAUAUUCAAAGAUCAGAAGGAAGGUAAGGAACAGUCCAGGUGAGCCACGGGGCCAUCCGAAUAGCCGCCUAUCGUAUCACAUUCGGCUAAUCCUGUAUUUCAGCCCGACUUUUGUAUCAAAAUUUGGAUAAAGUCUGAGGUGCUCAGUGAACAGCCUUCCCGAGGCAGCUGAAUGUCCAGGUUCCCCAAGAGGGUGAGUGUGACACAGAGGGCUCACGCCCUCCAGACUUACUAAAGCCACCGAUUUUGGCUUCUGCGGAAGCGAAGGGGCUGUAUCCAGCGCUUCAGUAAAUGAGGACAUUCCGCCCCCUCCAGUCCUCAUCGGCCCAGCAGUGGAGGAAUAAAGGUGCUGGGGCAGCAUGGUGCAGGAUCGUUUUUAUAGUCUCUGAAGUCUAGGUGCUAUUUUUACAUGCCUGUGCCACGGGCGAAGCCUCUGCCCAGAGCGGCCAGCACCAUGGAUUAAACAACCCAGCCAGAGGCGAGCCUCUGGAUGGCGAGCCUCUGGGGAUCCACUUGCCGGGGAACUGGUUCCAGUGGUAUCUGCUUAAAACAUCCCACUGCCUUCAGUCUUCCCGUUUUUUCCCCCCUCUCCAUGUAAUAUUAUCCUUGCACUUGGACACACACACAUACGCACGCCCUCAGCUCUGCACACAACCUGCUCUUUCCUCCCCGAAACGGAGACUCAGAUUCUUACCUGAAAACCUUGUAGGCUGAGGACUGUGCCUCUUCGUCCAAGGGCAACACGGAAAUCCACUGGGUGUCGUCUGCUCCGUGUCACUGUCACUGUGC
Leopardus geoffroyi (Geoffroy's cat) is the source of this 3030-nucleotide long non-coding RNA. RefSeq lists it as uncharacterized. The record is from RefSeq and is a predicted model, not a curated record. The transcript has 7 exons. NCBI's taxonomy places the organism in Eukaryota, Metazoa, Chordata, Mammalia, Carnivora, Felidae.